RNAcentral lists this long non-coding RNA (300 nucleotides) under Equus caballus (horse). RNAcentral describes it as "lncRNA (ENSECAG00000053560.1)". Lineage: Eukaryota; Metazoa; Chordata; Mammalia; Perissodactyla; Equidae. The record is from RNAcentral.
GGAACUUUCAGCCCUCCCCACUGACCUCCGGGAAGGGGAAGCGGGGGCUGCAGAUUAAGCUCUAUCGAAACUCUUGAGCAACAAGAUUUGAUGAGCUUGGGGGUUGGUGAAUGCAUCCACGUGCUGGGGGGGCUGCACACCUCAGUUCCACCUCUGAAACUCCUGUGCUUGGGAUCCUUCCAGACCUUGCCCUAUGUACCCUUUCAUCUGGUUAUUCAUCCGUCCAAGACAUAUAAAUCUACAUGCCUUCUGUAUCCUUUUUGCACGUUGAUCUUGCCCCAUCCUAUGACUCAAAACGAC